CGUGAGGUGGGGGAAGGAGGCGGGGUAAGUGGAAGGGGGUGAGCGUUGUUAGGAAUGACUGGGCGUAAAGCGGACGUAGGCGGGGAAUGAAGUCAGGGGUGAAAGCCGUGAGCGCAACUCAAGAACUGCCUGUGAUACUGGUUGCCUGGAGGCCGGGAGAGGUGAGUGGAACUGCUAGUGUAGAGGUGAAAUUCGUAGAUAUUAGCAAGAACACCAGUGGCGAAGGCGGCUCACUGGCCCGGUACUGACGCUGAGGUACGAAAGCGUGGGGAGCAAACAGGAUUAGAUACCCGUGUAGUC
RNAcentral lists this ribosomal RNA (300 nucleotides) under uncultured Bacillus sp. RNAcentral describes it as "bacterial SSU rRNA". The stretch from base 52 to 300 matches the Rfam family "Bacterial small subunit ribosomal RNA", at positions 547 to 795 of the family's 1533-position model. The record is from RNAcentral. Lineage: Bacteria; Bacillati; Bacillota; Bacilli; Caryophanales; Bacillaceae.